This 1048-nucleotide long non-coding RNA is filed under the name Prunus persica (peach). Its description in RNAcentral is "long non-coding RNA (PPER_LNC001092)". The record is from RNAcentral. Lineage: Eukaryota; Viridiplantae; Streptophyta; Magnoliopsida; Rosales; Rosaceae.
AUAAAAAUACCCAAAACACUUAAUAGGGCAUCAAAGUAAUUUAAUAAUUAAUAUUAAAUUCAAUAAGGCCAGCUGUCAUUUUUUGGAUUUUUUUUGGGUUUGUUUAUAGAAAUUCAAUUGUGUAGGGUUUAUUUAUAAUAUUAGUGCUAGAAAUGAGUAUAUCACUAAAUAUCUCAAAGGUAAUCAUUAAUGGAAGUAGGAUUGAGAACAAACAUAUAUAUAUAUAUAUAUAUAUAUAUAUUUUUGGGACAAGUGAUAGCUAAAUUACAAGGAAGGAGAUUUUUCACACACACAACUAUGAUGCUGUGGGAAUUCGAAUAUGAGAUCACUAGUCUGCAAGUCAAGCUAAAUACUUUUUUUUUAUUGUUAGUUUUUUAUUUUUUUAUUUUAAUACUAACGAUAUUGAAUGAAGAAGAAUUGAAUUUAGAACUUCGAAUAUAAAGAUAAAUGCUCAUAACCACUUGAAUUAAAAGCCCUUGCAAUAUAAUAGGGUUAAGACAAGGAACUGUUAAUGAACAUUUUGCUUCUUGUUGUGGUCUCUAAUUAAGGUCUUGCGUGAGCUUUGAGACCAAAUAGAAAAAUGUGUUUCGGAGGCAAAUAUUCUUGGAGGCACGUCGGAAAUUGCAAAUGCGUCGCAGUCAUGGAAUUGCUUUUGACUAUUUGUUUUCUUCUCUCUGUUUUCAGGCCUUGAGCCACAUGCCUUACUCCUUUCUUUCGCUUUCCCCUUUCACAUCAUCCAAAGUUACAUAUUAGUCGAUAAAUUUAUUAAAGAUAUAAGCACUAUUAAGGUAAAUUAGAUUAGACUUAUCCAAAAUUAGUAUUCAUCAGCCUAUUCCCACACCCAACACACGUGCGAAAAUUUUCUGGCAAUUGACAAAAUAGAAAAUGUUUUCCUACUUUUUUGUCACUUAUAUUCUCUUUGUUGGAAAUUGUUUUCCCAUUCAUAUUUUGCUCACUUACUCUUCAUUGUAUGUUACAAUAAAAAAUAUUAAAAAAAAAAAUGUAAGUGGACAAAAGAGAAGUAGGAAAAUCAACAUCCUAUCGUUUU